RNAcentral lists this transfer RNA (87 nucleotides) under Candidatus Magasanikbacteria bacterium RIFOXYB2_FULL_38_10. RNAcentral's name for it is "tRNA-Ser". It matches the Rfam family "tRNA". Rfam says of the family: Transfer RNA (tRNA) molecules are approximately 80 nucleotides in length. Their secondary structure includes four short double-helical elements and three loops (D, anti-codon, and T loops). Further hydrogen bonds mediate the characteristic L-shaped molecular structure. tRNAs have two regions of fundamental functional importance: the anti-codon, which is responsible for specific mRNA codon recognition, and the 3' end, to which the tRNAs corresponding amino acid is attached (by aminoacyl-tRNA synthetases). tRNAs cope with the degeneracy of the genetic code in two manners: having more than one tRNA (with a specific anti-codon) for a particular amino acid; and 'wobble' base-pairing, i.e. permitting non-standard base-pairing at the 3rd anti-codon position. Lineage: Bacteria; Candidatus Magasanikiibacteriota. The record is from RNAcentral.
GGAGAGGUGGCUGAGCGGCUUAAAGCAGCAGGUUGCUAACCUGCGCCCCCGUAAGGGGGCUCGUGGGUCCGAAUCCCACCCUCUCCG